AAAUGCGAUAAGUAAUGUGAAUUGCAGAAUUCAGUGAAUCAUCGAAUCUUUGAACGCACCUUGCGCUCCUUGGUAUUCCUUGGAGCAUGCCUGUUUGAGUAUCAUGAAAUCUUCAAAGUAAAUCUUUUGUUAACUCAAUUGGUUUCUACUUUGGUAUUGGAGGUCUUUGCAGCUUCACCUGCUCCUCUUUGUUCAUUAGCUGGAUCUCAGUGUUAUGCUUGGUUCCACUCGGCGUGAUAAGUUAUCUAUCGCUGAGGACACUGUAAAAGGUGGCCAAGGUAAAUGCAGAUGAACCGCUUCUAAUAGUCCAUUGACUUGGACAAUACUUUUAUGAUCUGAUCUCAAAUCAGGUAGGACUACCCGCUGAACUUAAGC
Molecule: unclassified non-coding RNA, 375 nt
Filed under: plant metagenome
Description: partial contains 5.8S ribosomal RNA, internal transcribed spacer 2, and large subunit ribosomal RNA
Rfam family: 5.8S ribosomal RNA (bases 1-104)
Source: RNAcentral